This 769-nucleotide ribosomal RNA is filed under the name uncultured bacterium. Its description in RNAcentral is "bacterial SSU rRNA". It matches the Rfam family "Bacterial small subunit ribosomal RNA", at positions 9 to 795 of the family's 1533-position model. The record is from RNAcentral.
GAGUUUGAUCCUGGCUCAGGACGAACGCUGGCGGCGUGCUUAACACAUGCAAGUCGAACGGAAAGGCCCUUCGGGGUACUCGAGUGGCGAACGGGUGAGUAACACGUGGGUGAUCUGCCCUGCACUCUGGGAUAAGCCUGGGAAACUGGGUCUAAUACCGGAUAGGACCGCAUGCUUCAUGGUGUGUGGCGCAAAGCUUUUGCGGUGUGGGAUGAGCCCGCGGCCUAUCAGCUUGUUGGUGGGGUAAUGGCCUACCAAGGCGACGACGGGUAGCCGGCCUGAGAGGGUGACCGGCCACACUGGGACUGAGAUACGGCCCAGACUCCUACGGGAGGCAGCAGUGGGGAAUAUUGCACAAUGGGCGCAAGCCUGAUGCAGCGACGCCGCGUGAGGGAUGACGGCCUUCGGGUUGUAAACCUCUUUCAGUAGGGACGAAGCGAAAGUGACGGUACCUACAGAAGAAGGACCGGCCAACUACGUGCCAGCAGCCGCGGUAAUACGUAGGGUCCGAGCGUUGUCCGGAAUUACUGGGCGUAAAGAGCUCGUAGGUGGUUUGUCGCGUUGUUCGUGAAAACUCACAGCUUAACUGUGGGCGUGCGGGCGAUACGGGCAGACUAGAGUACUGCAGGGGAGACUGGAAUUCCUGGUGUAGCGGUGGAAUGCGCAGAUAUCAGGAGGAACACCGGUGGCGAAGGCGGGUCUCUGGGCAGUAACUGACGCUGAGGAGCGAAAGCGUGGGUAGCGAACAGGAUUAGAUACCCUGGUAGUC